This 1836-nucleotide unclassified non-coding RNA is filed under the name Leishmania donovani. RNAcentral's name for it is "gene:unknown". Lineage: Eukaryota; Euglenozoa; Kinetoplastea; Trypanosomatida; Trypanosomatidae. The record is from RNAcentral.
GGAAAGCGACCUCAUCAUGAAAAGUUGCACAUACGGGUAAAGGGUCAGCACAAUGACACCCCGAUAAGCUUACCAGUGCCAUCACAGGCACUCCUCUCCUUUUUCCCUCACUCGCUCUUUACGGCACUUUACACGCGUAGGGAGCGGCACAGACAUCUUGCCAUCACCAAAGGGGAACGCAAGCGGUGCUCGUGAAGGGUCUAAGGAGAUGCGUGACGCGCACCGUGAAAGAGCGCGACGGCGCACUUUUCCAUGUGAAUGGAUCAGCGCCUACAUUUUAUCACAGCGGCGCCGUUGCGAAGAGGCUAAGCUUCGAAGCUCGGCAGGUUGCGGGGACCCAAGGAGAACCUUGCGCGGCUGGAGACGUUAGCGUUUCAGUUCGAGCGGCUGCAUUGAUAGGCGGUGGUGCGUGUUGUUUGCACAGUCGCGGGGCACCAACCCUCUUUCCUUUCCCUGUCCUCCCUGGUGUACCCGCGGUAAAGGCGGCACAAUCCGGGUGCAAAGGGCAGCGUCAUCUCGAGCUUGUUUACACGCAGACACACAUAUGCACAUGCAUACCUACAGAUAGCAGGGAGAGAGGAGCGUCGAAGGGUGGCCUCCUACUGCUGCGCGGUGGAGUACCGCAUUCAUGGGGUGCGAGCGUGAAGAGGGCGGAAAGGGGGAUUAGGAUAACCUGGGUAGUAGUGGAACAAGUUCUGUAACGGCAAUGCAUACCCUUCUUUCCGCGGCCCUGCUACGGUGCUGCAAAUCCGUGUGACUCCCUUCUCUCACCACUUUCUCUACGCCUUUUUUCCCUCUUUCACAUUUAGACCCCAGGUGUGCGCAUGCCUAUGCUUUAUUCGUCGGUGCGGUGACCUUCUUUUGUCGAGCGUUCCGCCUCGUCGACGUGCACAUGCCUGUGAGCUCUUUUCGUGGCGUUUGCUUGCCCUUGCCUUUCUCCUUUGGUAUCCCGUGCGUUUAUUCCUUCUCCGUCUCUCGUCUGCACGGGGUGCCCUCUCGGGUGCUUCCCUUUUCCGUACCGUCUGCAUUCCCUGCCAUACAGCAAGGAGUUCAGCCUACAUUCAACCCCCCCGCCCUCGGCCGGUCACAGGCACAGCGCAUGGGGAGAUGCAGCGGUAGGGCAAGCCCUGCAGCCGUGCGCCGACCCAGUCACCCGGGCACCGCCGCUGCGUCGAACAGUGCUCACACACACACACACACACUCACACAGCAGCGGCCGUUGCGCCGGUCGCCACCCGGUGCACCCGCCACGGGGCCGGGCUCGGGCACCCCCACACCAGUGGGCAGUGUGAGGGCGGGGGCGCGAUGCCUUUCGAGCCACCUCCACACUCCGCCCAUCACAUGAACGGCACGGACGCGUUCGCUGACCGCAGGGCGCGGCGACGCCACGCUCACCAGGACAUGGCCGCCCGGCAUCAGCGGGGAUGCAUUGCUGUGGCUCCGCUACGCCGUAGGCGCUUGGCUGGGCCACCACCAGAGGCGGCUCCGCAGUGGCAGAGGAUAGGGGCGAGGGGCUGCUUGGCUUUUUCCGCACGCAAUGCGUGGGGGCGCUGGACCCUGCGACACCACGCACUGAGGUGUCGCCCCGUCAUGUGAGUGAAUGUUCUAUGCGCGAGGAAGUAGGAAACGAGGAUGUUGUCAUUAUUCUGUGUGUGUGUGGUCUGUGCGACAUAUUUGAAGGAGGUACGCUGGCACUGGUGUAUCUUGAAUCAACAAGUAUGUUGCGGCCUAGCUUGAACGCCCUGAAGGAUUGUGCCAGCGGUGGAGCUCAUGCGCAGUGCGCAGUGUGCUGUACCAUGGGCGUCUUCCAAAGAGGCUUGUUGUUGCGCGCAUGUG